This 497-nucleotide ribosomal RNA is filed under the name uncultured bacterium. RNAcentral's name for it is "partial 16S ribosomal RNA". It matches the Rfam family "Bacterial small subunit ribosomal RNA", at positions 28 to 507 of the family's 1533-position model. The record is from RNAcentral.
GAUGAACGCUGGCGGCGUGCCUAAUACAUGCAAGUCGAGCGAACGGACGAGAAGCUUGCUUCUCUGAUGUUAGCGGCGGACGUGUGAGUAACACGUGGAUAACCUACCUAUAAGACUGGGAUAACUUCGUGAAACCGGAGCUAAUACCGUAUAAUAUUUUGAACCGCAUGGUUCAAAAGUGAAGGACGGUCUUGCUGUCACUUAUAGAUGGAUCCGCGCUGCAUUAGCUAGUUGGUAAGGUAACGGCUUACCAAGGCAACGAUGCAUAGCCGACCUGAGAGGGUGAUCGGCCACACUGGAACUGAGACACGGUCCAGACUCCUACGGGAGGCCGCAGUAGGGAAGCUUACGCAAUGGGCGAAAGCCUGACGGAGCAACGCCGCGUGAGUGAUGAAGGUCUUCGGAUCGUAAGACUCUGUUAUUAGGGAAGAACAUAUGUGUAAGUAACUGUGCACAUCUUGACGGUACCUAAUCAGAAAGCCACGGCUAACUACGUG